This 253-nucleotide ribosomal RNA is filed under the name uncultured bacterium. RNAcentral describes it as "partial 16S ribosomal RNA". It matches the Rfam family "Bacterial small subunit ribosomal RNA", at positions 524 to 776 of the family's 1533-position model. The record is from RNAcentral.
UACGUAGGGUGCGAGCGUUAAUCGGAAUUACUGGGCGUAAAGAGUGCGCAGGCGGCCGAGCAAGUCGAGUGUGAAAGCCCCGGGCUUAACUUGGGAAUUGCGCUCGAAACUACUUGGCUGGAGUGUGGCAGAGGAAGGUGGAAUUCCCGGUGUAGUGGUGAAAUGCGUAGAGAUCGGGAGGAACACCAGUGGCGCAAGCGGCUGCCUGGCCGAGUCCUGACGCUGAGACGCGACGGCGUGGGGAGCAAACCGG